This 407-nucleotide ribosomal RNA is filed under the name uncultured bacterium. RNAcentral describes it as "partial 16S ribosomal RNA". It matches the Rfam family "Bacterial small subunit ribosomal RNA", at positions 28 to 526 of the family's 1533-position model. The record is from RNAcentral.
GACGAACGCUGGCGGCAGGCCUAACACAUGCAAGUCGAGCGGAGCGGCGGACGGGUGAGUCAUGCCUAGGAAUCUGCCUGGUAGUGGGGGAUAACGUCCGGAAACGGGCGCUAAUACCGCAUAAUAUCCGAUGAGCCUAGGUCGGAUUAGCUAGUUGGUGGGGUAAAGGCCUACCAAGGCGACGGUCGGUGACUGGUCUGAGAGGAUGAUCCGUCACACGGGAACUGAGACCCGGUCCAGACUCCAACGGGCGGAGGCGGUGGUGAAUUUUGGACAAGGGGCGAAGGCCUGUUCCAGCCAUGCCGCGGGUGUGAGGAAGGUCUUCGGAUUUUAAAGCACUUUAAGUUGGGAGGCGUUACCAACAGAAUAAGCACCGGCUAACUUCGUGCCAGCAGCCGCGGUAAUUC